RNAcentral lists this microRNA precursor (76 nucleotides) under Myotis myotis. RNAcentral's name for it is "mir-9229 microRNA precursor family". It matches the Rfam family "mir-9229 microRNA precursor family". Lineage: Eukaryota; Metazoa; Chordata; Mammalia; Chiroptera; Vespertilionidae. The record is from Rfam by way of RNAcentral. RNAcentral also lists the same sequence under 1 other name.
GAGACACCCCUCUGGGGCAAGACUUGCUUCAAUGGGGCUUUGGUGCUCACUGAGUCUUCCCCCUGAGUGUGUCCUU